Non-coding RNA from Trichobilharzia regenti, 50 nucleotides. Lineage: Eukaryota; Metazoa; Platyhelminthes; Trematoda; Strigeidida; Schistosomatidae. The record is from Rfam.
GUACUGAUGAAGGGUCCAAAAAUAGGACGAAACAGUUAUUUGUCCAGUAC